UAGAUGCGAGAGUAGAGCAUAUCAAUAAGCGGAGGAAAAGAAACUAACAAGGAUUCCCUUAGUAACGGCGAGUGAAGCGGGAAGAGCUCAAAUUUGAAAUCUUCAAGGUUCUACCUUGACGAAUUGUAGUUUAUAGAAGUGUUUUCUGUUAGUAGAGUGGCAAAAGUUCUUUGGAAUAGGACAUCAUAGAGGGUGAGAAUCCCGUAUUUGGUCAUUCUUUCUACUAGCUUUGUGAUACACUUUCAAAGAGUCGGAUUGUUUGGGAAUGCAGUCCAAAAUGGGUGGUAAAUUUCAUCUAAAGCUAAAUAUUGGCGAGAGACCGAUAGCGAACAAGUACCGUGAGGGAAAGAUGAAAAGAACUUUGAAAGAGAGUUAAACAGUACGUGAAAUUGUCAAAAGGGAAGCGUUUCGACACCAGUGUUGUUUUUCCGAAAAUCAAUUACGAAUGUUUUGUUUUUAAGAAGUUAUGACUUCAUCGGCUUGCUUCUUUCUUUACGAAACUUUCUUAAUGCACUUUUCGGUUAACAAGUCAACAUCAAUUUCUUUUGUUGUAAAAGGGUAUGAGGAAGGUGGCUUUCAUUUCGGAUGAAAGUGUUUAUAGCCUUUGACUUCUGCAAUCGGAGAGAUUGAGGUCUGCAGCGUAGAUCCUUCGGGGUUAGAUAGCAUUUGUGCUAAGUUAUAGCCUUUCGAUAGACAACUUGUUGACUAUGAUUCAGUCAUUGUAGCUUACUCGCUUACUGCUAUUUUACCUACGCUUAGGAUGUUAACGAGACUGUCGAUCUC
This 783-nucleotide ribosomal RNA is filed under the name uncultured Neocallimastigales. RNAcentral's name for it is "partial large subunit ribosomal RNA". It matches the Rfam family "Eukaryotic large subunit ribosomal RNA", at positions 22 to 645 of the family's 3401-position model. Lineage: Eukaryota; Fungi; Neocallimastigomycota; Neocallimastigomycetes; Neocallimastigales. The record is from RNAcentral.